GAAGUACCACCCACAUAUAUGCACUACACUAUGUGCUGUUUUUAUCUGAGAAAUACGCAUCAAUGCUGCUCCUACCCUAGGAGUACGCAUUCCUUCAUCCAUUGCCAUUAUGUCUUAUUCUACUUAUCCAAUAAAGCUCUAGUUAUUUCAGUUUAUACUCCCUACUACAUUUAUCCGUGCAUUAAAAGGGAUGGCUGAUCUAAAAAAUUAGAAAAGAAAGAAAGAGGAAAAAGGUACCAAUGCAAAAGAAAAGAAAGAUAGCCAAGUCCUUAGUCUUAGAUUAGGGAGGUAUGUUUUACCCAAGGAGCAAAUGUAGAAUUAGAUAUUCACUAUCAGUUAUCACCCCUCAUACCCAC
RNAcentral lists this long non-coding RNA (356 nucleotides) under Sorghum bicolor (sorghum). Its description in RNAcentral is "long non-coding RNA (SBIC_LNC004994)". Lineage: Eukaryota; Viridiplantae; Streptophyta; Magnoliopsida; Poales; Poaceae. The record is from RNAcentral.